RNAcentral lists this ribosomal RNA (2739 nucleotides) under Staphylococcus aureus H18808. Its description in RNAcentral is "bacterial LSU rRNA". It matches the Rfam family "Bacterial large subunit ribosomal RNA". The record is from RNAcentral. Lineage: Bacteria; Bacillati; Bacillota; Bacilli; Caryophanales; Staphylococcaceae. RNAcentral also lists the same sequence under 8 other names.
ACCCGGAGAACUGAAACAUCUUAGUACCCGGAGGAAGAGAAAGAAAAUUCGAUUCCCUUAGUAGCGGCGAGCGAAACGGGAAGAGCCCAAACCAACAAGCUUGCUUGUUGGGGUUGUAGGACACUCUAUACGGAGUUACAAAGGACGACAUUAGACGAAUCAUCUGGAAAGAUGAAUCAAAGAAGGUAAUAAUCCUGUAGUCGAAAAUGUUGUCUCUCUUGAGUGGAUCCUGAGUACGACGGAGCACGUGAAAUUCCGUCGGAAUCUGGGAGGACCAUCUCCUAAGGCUAAAUACUCUCUAGUGACCGAUAGUGAACCAGUACCGUGAGGGAAAGGUGAAAAGCACCCCGGAAGGGGAGUGAAAUAGAACCUGAAACCGUGUGCUUACAAGUAGUCAGAGCCCGUUAAUGGGUGAUGGCGUGCCUUUUGUAGAAUGAACCGGCGAGUUACGAUUUGAUGCAAGGUUAAGCAGUAAAUGUGGAGCCGUAGCGAAAGCGAGUCUGAAUAGGGCGUUUAGUAUUUGGUCGUAGACCCGAAACCAGGUGAUCUACCCUUGGUCAGGUUGAAGUUCAGGUAACACUGAAUGGAGGACCGAACCGACUUACGUUGAAAAGUGAGCGGAUGAACUGAGGGUAGCGGAGAAAUUCCAAUCGAACCUGGAGAUAGCUGGUUCUCUCCGAAAUAGCUUUAGGGCUAGCCUCAAGUGAUGAUUAUUGGAGGUAGAGCACUGUUUGGACGAGGGGCCCCUCUCGGGUUACCGAAUUCAGACAAACUCCGAAUGCCAAUUAAUUUAACUUGGGAGUCAGAACAUGGGUGAUAAGGUCCGUGUUCGAAAGGGAAACAGCCCAGACCACCAGCUAAGGUCCCAAAAUAUAUGUUAAGUGGAAAAGGAUGUGGCGUUGCCCAGACAACUAGGAUGUUGGCUUAGAAGCAGCCAUCAUUUAAAGAGUGCGUAAUAGCUCACUAGUCGAGUGACACUGCGCCGAAAAUGUACCGGGGCUAAACAUAUUACCGAAGCUGUGGAUUGUCCUUUGGACAAUGGUAGGAGAGCGUUCUAAGGGCGUUGAAGCAUGAUCGUAAGGACAUGUGGAGCGCUUAGAAGUGAGAAUGCCGGUGUGAGUAGCGAAAGACGGGUGAGAAUCCCGUCCACCGAUUGACUAAGGUUUCCAGAGGAAGGCUCGUCCGCUCUGGGUUAGUCGGGUCCUAAGCUGAGGCCGACAGGCGUAGGCGAUGGAUAACAGGUUGAUAUUCCUGUACCACCUAUAAUCGUUUUAAUCGAUGGGGGGACGCAGUAGGAUAGGCGAAGCGUGCGAUUGGAUUGCACGUCUAAGCAAUAAGGCUGAGUAUUAGGCAAAUCCGGUACUCGUUAAGGCUGAGCUGUGAUGGGGAGAAGACAUUGUGUCUUCGAGUCGUUGAUUUCACACUGCCGAGAAAAGCCUCUAGAUAGAAAAUAGGUGCCCGUACCGCAAACCGACACAGGUAGUCAAGAUGAGAAUUCUAAGGUGAGCGAGCGAACUCUCGUUAAGGAACUCGGCAAAAUGACCCCGUAACUUCGGGAGAAGGGGUGCUCUUUAGGGUUAACGCCCAGAAGAGCCGCAGUGAAUAGGCCCAAGCGACUGUUUAUCAAAAACACAGGUCUCUGCUAAACCGUAAGGUGAUGUAUAGGGGCUGACGCCUGCCCGGUGCUGGAAGGUUAAGAGGAGUGGUUAGCUUCUGCGAAGCUACGAAUCGAAGCCCCAGUAAACGGCGGCCGUAACUAUAACGGUCCUAAGGUAGCGAAAUUCCUUGUCGGGUAAGUUCCGACCCGCACGAAAGGCGUAACGAUUUGGGCACUGUCUCAACGAGAGACUCGGUGAAAUCAUAGUACCUGUGAAGAUGCAGGUUACCCGCGACAGGACGGAAAGACCCCGUGGAGCUUUACUGUAGCCUGAUAUUGAAAUUCGGCACAGCUUGUACAGGAUAGGUAGGAGCCUUUGAAACGUGAGCGCUAGCUUACGUGGAGGCGCUGGUGGGAUACUACCCUAGCUGUGUUGGCUUUCUAACCCGCACCACUUAUCGUGGUGGGAGACAGUGUCAGGCGGGCAGUUUGACUGGGGCGGUCGCCUCCUAAAAGGUAACGGAGGCGCUCAAAGGUUCCCUCAGAAUGGUUGGAAAUCAUUCAUAGAGUGUAAAGGCAUAAGGGAGCUUGACUGCGAGACCUACAAGUCGAGCAGGGUCGAAAGACGGACUUAGUGAUCCGGUGGUUCCGCAUGGAAGGGCCAUCGCUCAACGGAUAAAAGCUACCCCGGGGAUAACAGGCUUAUCUCCCCCAAGAGUUCACAUCGACGGGGAGGUUUGGCACCUCGAUGUCGGCUCAUCGCAUCCUGGGGCUGUAGUCGGUCCCAAGGGUUGGGCUGUUCGCCCAUUAAAGCGGUACGCGAGCUGGGUUCAGAACGUCGUGAGACAGUUCGGUCCCUAUCCGUCGUGGGCGUAGGAAAUUUGAGAGGAGCUGUCCUUAGUACGAGAGGACCGGGAUGGACAUACCUCUGGUGUACCAGUUGUCGUGCCAACGGCAUAGCUGGGUAGCUAUGUGUGGACGGGAUAAGUGCUGAAAGCAUCUAAGCAUGAAGCCCCCCUCAAGAUGAGAUUUCCCAACUUCGGUUAUAAGAUCCCUCAAAGAUGAUGAGGUUAAUAGGUUCGAGGUGGAAGCAUGGUGACAUGUGGAGCUGACGAAUACUAAUCGAUCGAAGACUUAAUCAA